ACGGGAGGCAGCAGUGGGGAAUAUUGGACAAUGGGGGGAACCCUGAUCCAGCCAUGCCGCGUGUGUGAAGAAGGCCUUUUGGUUGUAAAGCACUUUAAGCAGUGAAGAAGACUCUUCGGUUAAUACCCGGGGACGAUGACAUUAGCUGCAGAAUAAGCACCGGCUAACUCUGUGCCAGCAGCCGCGGUAAUACAGAGGGUGCAAGCGUUAAUCGGAAUUACUGGGCGUAAAGCGAGCGUAGGUGGCUUGAUAAGUCAGAUGUGAAAUCCCCGGGCUUAACCUGGGAACUGCAUCUGAAACUGUUAGGCUAGAGUAGGUGAGAGGGAAGUAGAAUUUCAGGUGUAGCGGUGAAAUGCGUAGAGAUCUGAAGGAAUACCGAUGGCGAAGGCAGCUUCCUGGCAUCAUACUGACACUGAGGCUCGAAAGCGUGGGUAGCAAACAGGAUUAGAUACCCUGGUAGUCCACGCCGUAAACGAUGUCUACUAGUCGUUGGGUCCCUUGAGGACUUAGUGACGCAGCUAACGCAAUAAGUAGACCGCCUGGGGAGUACGGCCGCAAGGUUAAAACUCAAAUGAAUUGACGG
This 583-nucleotide ribosomal RNA is filed under the name uncultured bacterium. RNAcentral's name for it is "bacterial SSU rRNA". It matches the Rfam family "Bacterial small subunit ribosomal RNA", at positions 341 to 916 of the family's 1533-position model. The record is from RNAcentral.